GUUUUGCAGAAAACUGCCUGACUCCUACACGUUCUGUCUCCAGCAGUUGUUUGUCUGAGGCAUGGACAAUGACUGUUUAAAUCUGCUCUGGACUGAAAAACCUCAGCACUGAGGGCUCACACCUGCGGCCCACUGGGCCUGGACCUCCAGAGGGACUGGGACUGAUGAGAGACUGAGCUGAGCUACCCAUGGCAAGGAUUUUCUCAAGUUUGCCAUCUCUCUUUGGAGUGGAAAGAGGAUUUAUUGUUUCAUAUUAUUCAUUCUUUAUGCUUGUGGGCAUUUUGUUUGUUAAAUAAAUAGUUUUUUCCA
Molecule: long non-coding RNA, 309 nt
Organism: Prinia subflava (tawny-flanked prinia)
Lineage: Eukaryota; Metazoa; Chordata; Aves; Passeriformes; Cisticolidae
Exons: 2
Source: RefSeq, a predicted model, not a curated record